Molecule: transfer RNA, 73 nt
Filed under: Capsaspora owczarzaki
Lineage: Eukaryota; Filasterea; Ministeriida; Capsasporidae
Description: tRNA-Thr
Rfam family: tRNA
About the family: Transfer RNA (tRNA) molecules are approximately 80 nucleotides in length. Their secondary structure includes four short double-helical elements and three loops (D, anti-codon, and T loops).
Source: RNAcentral
GUCAUAAUGGUUCAAUUGGUAGAACAUCUGUCUUGUAAAUAGAAGGUUGGUAGUUCAAGUCUACCUUAUGGCA